Molecule: long non-coding RNA, 3947 nt
Organism: Lytechinus pictus (painted urchin)
Lineage: Eukaryota; Metazoa; Echinodermata; Echinoidea; Temnopleuroida; Toxopneustidae
Exons: 2
Source: RefSeq, a predicted model, not a curated record
CAGAAAUCAACAGUCCAAUCAAGGAUGGAACCGCAACCAGCAGUCGCAGGGUCAGGCGUACCACCAGAACCAGCAUCAACGCUCCCAGAGCUAUGGGGGACAUAGCAGCCAAGGAUAUAGUGGUUAUAACCAACAGCAGGGCUACGGGGGCUCGAGACAAGGUCAGGGCUACCAACGAGGAGGUGGAGGAAAUCAAUAUGGCAACAGAGAUAAUAGGAAUCAGGACUGGCAGGGUGGAAACCAGGGAGGUGGAGGAUACCCCAAACCUCCUGGAUACUCCCAAAGGAGAUACUAAGAUGCCAUCAUGAUGAUACCGAUACAGGCAUCACUAAAACCAUCAUCAUCCAAUCUUCAUCUGGCUUCGAAGCUCUCCUGUGGUAGAAGCACAGCUGGACUAGUGCCCCUAGACUUUGAGUAUCUAAUUAUUGUUUCUCCAUAUUUCUUUAAUAAUAUCCAUGAAGUGACCUUUUUUCGCUUGCAACUGCUAUAAGCUCUCGUAAUGGAUAGUUUUGAAGUUCUUUAGCAUUACCAAAGCUGGAGCAAUGUACCCAGUUUUAAGAAUGUGAUGACAUUUCUCUAAAUUUCAUCAUUCAUGAAUAAUAACCUGGCAGUGUUUCAUGAAACAACUCAGUGAUUUUCACCAUCUGUUAUAAACUACUGAAAUGCCUUCGGUCUCCUCUAGUUUAAACAUAGAGCAGUACAUCCAGGUUUGAAAGUAUGAAAUUUCUCUGUUCAUAGAGAUAUGGGUAGCAUUUCAUGAAGUUAUUUCUUAAUUAAAUUUGCUUAGAGCUUUUAUAAGCUCCUGCAAUACCUGUUUCUUAUUGGCUGAGAGCAUAUUUAUCAGUGAAUAAAACAUUCAAAAUAUGCUUCAUGAAAUGGUCCUCAUGAAGGUGUUUCAUGAAGUUGUUCGUAAGUUACGCAAGUCUGGGUGCAUGACAGGCGACCAGGCACCAAAUCAGGGGGCUGUUACAUAAAGCUGUUCGUAAGUUAAGAAUGACUAUAAGAACGACUGGUGAACCUUUCUUACGCGCUUAAACCAUCGCCAAUGAAUAUACCAUUUUCCACAAGAAAGGAUCACCACUCACCAGUCGUUAAAGUCGCUCUAAACUUACGAACAGCUUUAUGAAACACCCACCAGGUUCUCAGCCAUAGUGACUCCCAUCAACUGAACUUUAAAUCAGACCAAUGUAUGUUAAAAUUGGUUUUGUUACCACCCGUUUGAAUGUAGUUUUAUCAUUGUCAAAACUUGAUAAGGGUUGUUGAAAAUUCAUUUGCAUUCUCUUAAAAUCGGACAUUCUGGGUAACAUAUUCUUUAAGAAAGGUGCCAAUGUUGUGCAGAAAGUCUUGUGUCACUUUAUACAAACAGCUUCAUGCAACACCCCUAGUAUGCUUAAUAUUUUGCUUGUCAAAUCAUAUGGGACUACAGAAAUAGCUUCUAUUGAGGAAAAAAAAUUUGUUUUUAUGAGAUAUAUUGGGUAGGAAUCCUGAGUAUUAAGAUGACUUAGACAAAUCCUAUACAGAGUUAACUUGAGCAAAGAUGAUUGUAUUUUUAUAUUUCGUUUUAAUCUGCCAUGUUGAAAGAAAUAUUUCAUGAAAGAGACAUGAUACAUAUCGGGAAGAGUCACUCGGCCAAACCCACCAGAACUAAAUUUCAGUAGUAGCAAAUUUACUACUGCAUGAGAGCACCAAACUAUUUGAUAUUUUGGAAUGUUUUUAACUCACUUUAUUAGUAUGUCAUGCCUUUUUAUUUCAGUUGAGGUUUCAUUUUUUUUUUUGGUUUAUAGUGAGAAAAAAAAGUUCUAUAAACCAUUUAUACCUUUGACACUUUUCCCAAAACCUAGAUCUAGAAAUCCAUUCAUGCAAACUGAUAUACAGAUAAAACAUUUAUCACACCUUAUACAUGUACACUAUUCAUUGUGUUUAAAAGUAGAGUUAGAUUCUGAAAUCUAAUUUGAUUUAAGGUUGGACAGAGCUGCAAAACUUUGCUUAACCCUGAACAGACUGGUGAUGGAACUUUCAUCAAUCAUAGGAUGUGUAUUACUAUUAGACGAUUUAUUGAUUCACAAUGUGCUGUCUUUUUUCUAUCCAUAUAUGAAUUAAGUUAGGGUAUUUUUUCUUUGUUCUUUUGUAAUUUCAUUUAUAGUUGCUGAUGAUGAAUUUUUAACUAAAACAGUUUGCUCUUCUGAUUGUAAGGGUAUGUUCUUUGCAAUGACCAAAAAAUGUUAAUUGAUAUUUACUGUGUUUACACGCAGAAUCAGCUUUUUUGUUGCAUGUAAACGUGAUUAACUUGCAUUGGCUCACGGUGCAGAAUCGGCAAUUUUGCACCAACAAAAUAGUAGGAUCAGAACUGCGAGCUGAUGCAGAAUCAGUUUUUUUCUAUGUGUAAACACAAAGCCGAUUCUGCAUCGGCAAUUGGCGCGUGUUUUAAUUACUUUAUCAUUAUGACGUACUUGUAAGUGCCCGGAUCCAGCGUUGUCUUUAUUAUGACGUAUGUUGUUGGUGCGCGGAUAUUUCAUCCACUGAUCUGUGUUUUUGCCCCGUGAGCCGAUUCUGCACCGCGAGCUCUGACAGCGUGUAAAUGCGAUGCAAGAUAUUAACCCAAAGCAGAUUCUGCAUCGCAAGCCAAUGCAGCGUGUAAACACGGUAGACUUGUUAUGAAGAGUAGCAACUUUUUCAUAUCUGAGAGCAUUUGGUGGAGUGAUGACAUCUCAAAGAUGAGGUGUUCAGUCGAUAACAGGAACAUGCCAAAUAGUUAAGGUUUAGUAUCCAAACCUCUUGCUCGCAGAAAUUGCCCUUUUCAUUAAUACAACCCUCAUGUUCUCACAGAUGCUCACUAUAAAAGAUUGGAGAAGGAUGACAUGAUGAUAGCACAAUGUUAUGCAAGGCCUGAUGGAAUGCUAGCUCAUGAAAACCAAAGGGCUUAUUUGGGGAAAUGUGAGGUAGUAUUGUUAUCUUCACGCAAAUUAUAUGAGUUUUAGAUUGAUUAUUGUUCACUCUUGAAUAUACAUUUGGGGACAUGCAGAAAUAUGACACAAGAAAAGGAAACAGUUGAAGUAGAACUUGUAUUAGAACAUUCCAAACUUUUCUAUGGUUUUUAAUUAUUUUUUGUCACAAUCAUGCUGCGAAUUUUACAAUGUGUGACAUGCCUUUGUAUUUUUUAUUUACUGAAGAGUUAUCUUUCCUGUUUUUAAAAUAAUUGAAAAUAAGUAAAAUAUGAACAAAUUGAGGUUUGUGGUUGUAAAUGACUCUUCUGUUGACAAAAAAAGGUAGUAGAUUGUGUAUCACAAAUGUGCUUCAAUUUAUUUCACUUCUUCACCAAACCAUGACAAAUGAACACAUUUAAAAUAUUUUAAAAACACCAUCUGAAAUGUUAUUUCUAUUUUCUUUUAUAACAUUUUAUCAUGUCCUACUUUUGAUAUGACUCCUGAUUUUCCAGUAAAUUUAGGUGAAAUAAAACUGUUUUUUAUAUUGCACCACCCCUAAGACUUACACAGAUAUGACAUGACAGAUCUCAUUGAAAAAUCCCAUUCGGCAUCAUUUCCAUGGCUACAAAAAAAGUAAGUGACCUAAACAAAUGUAAAAAAAAUUAACUUCUGAAAUUAUAUGAUAAAACUUGAUGAAAUGAUUGUGAUGGCAUGGGUUUUGCUUUAGAUAAUUUCUCUGUGUUUGGUUUUAUUUAUUCUGGUUGUAAUGAAUCUUUAAGAGUUGCAUCAACUCAUGUAAGAAACUUGGUUAUUUCAGCAUCUUUGCCAUUAAAAUAAACAAAAGAAUUUAGAAAAGAUAUAUAACACAGUGUGGUAUUUCUCUAAAUAAGCGUUCAUAUUAAGGUUUUUUGAAUGUGUAAAUAUUAACAUAAUGUAAUGAUCGUUUGAAAGGAUAAAUUGUUUGAUAUAUGAACAGAAAAAGACUUGUAAAUUAAAAUGUUUGAAUUAAUCAACAAAAAAUAU